AGAACCCCGGCGAGGGGAGUGAAAAAGAACCUGAAACCGUGUACGUACAAGCAGUGGGAGCCCCACCACCAAAGCAUUCUCUGGUGUUGAAGGCCCUGCAAAGCAGCAUCGCGGUGGCGGAGCGUCGUUUGCGACGCCCAACACACAAAACAAGCGGUGAAUGCUUUGGGGUGGGGUGACUGCGUACCUUUUGUAUAAUGGGUCAGCGACUUAUAUUCUGUAGCAAGGUUAACCGUAUAGGGGAGCCGGAGGGAAACCGAGUCUUAAUUGGGCGUUAAGUUGCAGGGUAUAGACCCGAAACCCGGUGAUCUAGCCAUGGGCAGGUUGAAGGUUGGGUAACACUAACUGGAGGACCGAACCGACUAAUGUUGAAAAAUUAGCGGAUGACCUGUGGCUGGGGGUGAAAGGCCAAUCAAACCGGGAGAUAGCUGGUUCUCCCCGAAAGCUAUUUAGGUAGCGCCUCGUGAAUUCAUCUCCGGGGGUAGAGCACUGUUUCGGCUAGGGGGCCAUCCCGGCUUACCAACCCGAUGCAAACUGCGAAUACCGGAGAAUGUUAUCACGGGAGACACACGGCGGGUGCUAACGUCCGUCGUGAAGAGGGAAACAACCCAGACCGCCAGCUAAGGUCCCAAAGUCAUGGUUAAGUGGGAAACGAUGUGGGAAGGCCCAGACAGCCAGGAUGUUGGCUUAGAAGCAGCCAUCAUUUAAAGAAAGCGUAAUAGCUCACUGGUCGAGUCGGCCUGCGCGGAAGAUGUAACGGGGCUAAACCAUGCACCGAAGCUGCGGCAGCGAACGUAUCACCCAAGACAACUUUACGGAGUUGACGAUUGACGGAGCGAAGCGACGUCAAAGCGUUCAUUAAAGUCGAGUUGGCUUAGGGAUACGUUCGUUGGGUAGGGGAGCGUUCUGUAAGCCUGUGAAGGUGUGUCGUGAGGCAUGCUGGAGGUAUCAGAAGUGCGAAUGCUGACAUAAGUAACGAUAAAGCGGGUGAAAAGCCCGCUCGCCGGAAGACCAAGGGUUCCUGUCCAACGUUAAUCGGGGCAGGGUGAGUCGACCCCUAAGGCGAGGCCGAAAGGCGUAGUCGAUGGGAAACGGGUUAAUAUUCCCGUACUUGGUGUUACUGCGAAGGGGGGACGGAGAAGGCUAUGUUGGCCGGGCGACGGUUGUCCCGGUUUAAGCGUGUAGGUGUGUGUUCCAGGUAAAUCCGGUUCACUUUAACACUGAGGCGUGACGACGAGGCACUACGGUGCUGAAGCAACAAAUGCCCUGCUUCCAGGAAAAGCCUCUAAGCAUCAGGUAACAUCAAAUCGUACCCCAAACCGACACAGGUGGUCAGGUAGAGAAUACCAAGGCGCUUGAGAGAACUCGGGUGAAGGAACUAGGCAAAAUGGUGCCGUAACUUCGGGAGAAGGCACGCUGACACGUAGGUGAAGUGAUUUACUCAUGGAGCUGAAGUCAGUCGAAGAUACCAGCUGGCUGCAACUGUUUAUUAAAAACACAGCACUGUGCAAACACGAAAGUGGACGUAUACGGUGUGACGCCUGCCCGGUGCCGGAAGGUUAAUUGAUGGGGUCAGCGCAAGCGAAGCUCCUGAUCGAAGCCCCGGUAAACGGCGGCCGUAACUAUAACGGUCCUAAGGUAGCGAAAUUCCUUGUCGGGUAAGUUCCGACCUGCACGAAUGGCGUAAUGAUGGCCAGGCUGUCUCCACCCGAGACUCAGUGAAAUUGAACUCGCUGUGAAGAUGCAGUGUACCCGCGGCAAGACGGAAAGACCCCGUGAACCUUUACUAUAGCUUGACACUGAACAUUGAGCCUUGAUGUGUAGGAUAGGUGGGAGGCUUUGAAGUGUGGACGCCAGUCUGCAUGGAGCCGACCUUGAAAUACCACCCUUUAAUGUUUGAUGUUCUAACGUGGACCCGUUACCCGGGUUGCGGACAGUGUCUGGUGGGUAGUUUGACUGGGGCGGUCUCCUCCUAAAGAGUAACGGAGGAGCACGAAGGUUGGCUAAUCCUGGUCGGACAUCAGGAGGUUAGUGCAAUGGCAUAAGCCAGCUUGACUGCGAGCGUGACGGCGCGAGCAGGUGCGAAAGCAGGUCAUAGUGAUCCGGUGGUUCUGAAUGGAAGGGCCAUCGCUCAACGGAUAAAAGGUACUCCGGGGAUAACAGGCUGAUACCGCCCAAGAGUUCAUAUCGACGGCGGUGUUUGGCACCUCGAUGUCGGCUCAUCACAUCCUGGGGCUGAAGUAGGUCCCAAGGGUAUGGCUGUUCGCCAUUUAAAGUGGUACGCGAGCUGGGUUUAGAACGUCGUGAGACAGUUCGGUCCCUAUCUGCCGUGGGCGCUGGAGAACUGAGGGGGGCUGCUCCUAGUACGAGAGGACCGGAGUGGACGCAUCACUGGUGUUCGGGUUGUCAUGCCAAUGGCACUGCCCGGUAGCUAAAUGCGGAAGAGAUAAGUGCUGAAAGCAUCUAAGCACGAAACUUGCCCCGAGAUGAGUUCU
Molecule: ribosomal RNA, 2495 nt
Filed under: Salmonella enterica subsp. enterica serovar Typhimurium
Lineage: Bacteria; Pseudomonadati; Pseudomonadota; Gammaproteobacteria; Enterobacterales; Enterobacteriaceae
Description: bacterial LSU rRNA
Rfam family: Bacterial large subunit ribosomal RNA
Source: RNAcentral